CUCGCCUUCUCCCACGAACACAAUCAGGUUACAACAAUUUUGGGAAGAAUCACCCUGGAUUGAAAACUGAAAGCUGGAUAAAAAGAACCCCCAUGACAAGCGACAGUCCUGACGAAAGCAGAAGAGGCAGUAACUCUGGCCGAAGAGGAAAAAAGCCACCUUUGGGAGCAGCGGAGCUUCUCAGCUGGCCAGGCGGGAGCCAACCUAAGGUUCUCCAUAUGAGUUAAAGACUUCCUCUACCACAAGACUGAUGCCCUCACAAUGGCAGAAAAACUGUUAGAAAAUGUAUUUCCCUCUUGGGGAAUACCUUCCACUGUCUCAGGUGGCUGAGGCAUCCACUUAACUGGGCAAAUCAUACAAGCCUUAGCAAAAACCUUUCAAACUUCAUAGAAUUAUCACUGAGUCUAUCACCCUCGAUCAACAGGCCAAUUUGAGAAAACUAAUGGCAAAACUGGAUUCAAGUAGAACAAGUAUUAAUUAAAUGGAACUGCGUGAAUUGAGGAGGAUGCUCUAAAGUUUUGUUUUUCCAGAUUUCAAUCUGGAAAUUUUCUUUUCUCUUCAGUAAGACACCUUUGUGAACAAAGAUGAGACAUUCACUUUUUCUUUCUAACCUGAUCACUCCAAAAUUCAGGAACUCUCAGUGCGUAUAAAUAAUUAGGCCAAAUUUUAAUAUAAACAAAGUAGUUUUACUGUGACUAUCUUUGGUUAAAAAGAAAAACAGGGGUGAUGAUAGAGAAAAAAUACAUAUUUGUAACUUGGUAGAUAUUAGAUUUUGGUCCUGUUAACGGUGUUCGAGGUUUGUUGUAUACCUAUAGCCUGAACUCCCCUGGCCUAAGGUAUUGCCUUUUGUCUCGCUGACUGGUAGGAGUACCCCCAGUUAGAAAACAUCAACUCACUCCACAUGAGAUAGUUACCGGCAGACUCGUAUCUAUUCAGAUGCAAGCUUGUGCUGAUCCUGUGGUGUCUUAUGCUAUCACGACCGGCUUCUCUAAGUCUUAUACUCAAGGUUAUCAUCAACGGGUUAAAGAAAACUUCCAGGAUUCCAGUUUAAAGGAUCCUGUUGGUUACAGCCUAGAAACUAGUGAUCAAGUAUUCUAGAAGCAUCAUCAGAGGAAGACAGCCCUCAAGCCAUGUUGGAAAGGACCUUACCAAGUGCUUCUGAUCACUGGUGCUGCUGCAGAACUAGAAGGCAUUGAACUCGGGAGAUAUCUCACAGCUAAAGGAUUCAUGUGACAUCCAGUCCUGUACAAAUGCUGGAGACUUCAAAAUCAAAUUGACUGAGAAGAGAAGCAGCCAACAUCUGAUGUUGACAGUUUUUCCAAGAUUUGGCACCAGUUGUUAAGCUGAACUUUGGAAGCACCUGAGACUUAACAAAAACAAGAGAGAAUACUGAAAAUGGAAAUUUUGCACAGAAUUAAG
This 1419-nucleotide long non-coding RNA is filed under the name Equus caballus (horse). RNAcentral describes it as "lncRNA (ENSECAG00000054599.1)". The record is from RNAcentral. Lineage: Eukaryota; Metazoa; Chordata; Mammalia; Perissodactyla; Equidae.